CGACCGUCAAAGGGAGAGACACGCCUAAUCAGGCGCCGAAGGCGCAACCGUCCCGGAAACUUUCGGGCAAAUGAACCUUGGCGGACU
Molecule: non-coding RNA, 87 nt
Filed under: Bradyrhizobium sp.
Lineage: Bacteria; Pseudomonadati; Pseudomonadota; Alphaproteobacteria; Hyphomicrobiales; Nitrobacteraceae
Description: Glycine sequence
Rfam family: Glycine riboswitch aptamer
About the family: This family represents the bacterial glycine riboswitch. Glycine riboswitches usually consist of two metabolite-binding aptamers domains with similar structures in tandem.
Source: RNAcentral